RNAcentral lists this ribosomal RNA (1550 nucleotides) under Klebsiella variicola. RNAcentral describes it as "bacterial SSU rRNA". It matches the Rfam family "Bacterial small subunit ribosomal RNA". Lineage: Bacteria; Pseudomonadati; Pseudomonadota; Gammaproteobacteria; Enterobacterales; Enterobacteriaceae. The record is from RNAcentral.
AAAUUGAAGAGUUUGAUCAUGGCUCAGAUUGAACGCUGGCGGCAGGCCUAACACAUGCAAGUCGAGCGGUAGCACAGAGAGCUUGCUCUCGGGUGACGAGCGGCGGACGGGUGAGUAAUGUCUGGGAAACUGCCUGAUGGAGGGGGAUAACUACUGGAAACGGUAGCUAAUACCGCAUAACGUCGCAAGACCAAAGUGGGGGACCUUCGGGCCUCAUGCCAUCAGAUGUGCCCAGAUGGGAUUAGCUAGUAGGUGGGGUAACGGCUCACCUAGGCGACGAUCCCUAGCUGGUCUGAGAGGAUGACCAGCCACACUGGAACUGAGACACGGUCCAGACUCCUACGGGAGGCAGCAGUGGGGAAUAUUGCACAAUGGGCGCAAGCCUGAUGCAGCCAUGCCGCGUGUGUGAAGAAGGCCUUCGGGUUGUAAAGCACUUUCAGCGGGGAGGAAGGCGGUGAGGUUAAUAACCUCAUCGAUUGACGUUACCCGCAGAAGAAGCACCGGCUAACUCCGUGCCAGCAGCCGCGGUAAUACGGAGGGUGCAAGCGUUAAUCGGAAUUACUGGGCGUAAAGCGCACGCAGGCGGUCUGUCAAGUCGGAUGUGAAAUCCCCGGGCUCAACCUGGGAACUGCAUUCGAAACUGGCAGGCUAGAGUCUUGUAGAGGGGGGUAGAAUUCCAGGUGUAGCGGUGAAAUGCGUAGAGAUCUGGAGGAAUACCGGUGGCGAAGGCGGCCCCCUGGACAAAGACUGACGCUCAGGUGCGAAAGCGUGGGGAGCAAACAGGAUUAGAUACCCUGGUAGUCCACGCUGUAAACGAUGUCGAUUUGGAGGUUGUGCCCUUGAGGCGUGGCUUCCGGAGCUAACGCGUUAAAUCGACCGCCUGGGGAGUACGGCCGCAAGGUUAAAACUCAAAUGAAUUGACGGGGGCCCGCACAAGCGGUGGAGCAUGUGGUUUAAUUCGAUGCAACGCGAAGAACCUUACCUGGUCUUGACAUCCACAGAACUUUCCAGAGAUGGAUUGGUGCCUUCGGGAACUGUGAGACAGGUGCUGCAUGGCUGUCGUCAGCUCGUGUUGUGAAAUGUUGGGUUAAGUCCCGCAACGAGCGCAACCCUUAUCCUUUGUUGCCAGCGGUCCGGCCGGGAACUCAAAGGAGACUGCCAGUGAUAAACUGGAGGAAGGUGGGGAUGACGUCAAGUCAUCAUGGCCCUUACGACCAGGGCUACACACGUGCUACAAUGGCAUAUACAAAGAGAAGCGACCUCGCGAGAGCAAGCGGACCUCAUAAAGUAUGUCGUAGUCCGGAUUGGAGUCUGCAACUCGACUCCAUGAAGUCGGAAUCGCUAGUAAUCGUAGAUCAGAAUGCUACGGUGAAUACGUUCCCGGGCCUUGUACACACCGCCCGUCACACCAUGGGAGUGGGUUGCAAAAGAAGUAGGUAGCUUAACCUUCGGGAGGGCGCUUACCACUUUGUGAUUCAUGACUGGGGUGAAGUCGUAACAAGGUAACCGUAGGGGAACCUGCGGUUGGAUCACCUCCUUACCUUAAAGAA